CCUACGAGGGACUGCAGUGGGGGAUAUUGUACAAUGGGGGGAACCCUGAUGCAGCGACGCCGCGUGGGUGAAGAAGCGCCUCGGCGCGUAAAGCCCUGUCAGCAGGGAAGAAAAUGACGGUACCUGAAGAAUAAGCCCCGUCUAACUACGUGCCAGCAGCCGCGGUAAUACGUAGGGGGCAAUCGUUAUCCGGAUUUACUGGGUGUAAAGGGGGCGCAGACGGCGAUGCAAGCCAGGAGUGAAAGCCCGGGGCCCAACCCCGGGACUGCUCUUGGAACUGCGUGGCUGGAGUGCAGGAGGGGCAGGCGGAAUGCCUGGUGGAGCGGGGAAAUGCGUAGAUAUCAGGAGGAACACCGGUGGCGAAGGCGGCCUGUUGGACUGCAACUGACGUUGAGGCCCGAAAGCGUGGGGAGCAAACAGGAUUAGAUACCCUUGUAGUC
RNAcentral lists this ribosomal RNA (440 nucleotides) under uncultured bacterium. RNAcentral's name for it is "partial 16S ribosomal RNA". It matches the Rfam family "Bacterial small subunit ribosomal RNA", at positions 338 to 795 of the family's 1533-position model. The record is from RNAcentral.